RNAcentral lists this ribosomal RNA (237 nucleotides) under Burkholderia sp. Its description in RNAcentral is "partial 16S ribosomal RNA". It matches the Rfam family "Bacterial small subunit ribosomal RNA", at positions 534 to 771 of the family's 1533-position model. Lineage: Bacteria; Pseudomonadati; Pseudomonadota; Betaproteobacteria; Burkholderiales; Burkholderiaceae. The record is from RNAcentral.
GCAAGCGUUAAUCGGAAUUACUGGGCGUAAAGCGUGCGCAGGCGGUUCGCUAAGACAGAUGUGAAAUCCCCGGGCUUAACCUGGGAACUGCAUUUGUGACUGGCGGGCUAGAGUAUGGCAGAGGGGGGUAGAAUUCCACGUGUAGCAGUGAAAUGCGUAGAGAUGUGGAGGAAUACCGAUGGCGAAGGCAGCCCCUGGGCCAAUACUGACGCUCAUGCACGAAAGCGUGGGGAGCAA